Long non-coding RNA from Rhea pennata, 1198 nucleotides. RefSeq lists it as uncharacterized. The record is from RefSeq and is a predicted model, not a curated record. The transcript is spliced from 4 exons. NCBI's taxonomy places the organism in Eukaryota, Metazoa, Chordata, Aves, Rheiformes, Rheidae.
GCGAGGGCCUGGCGGUUUCGCUUUAUGCCCGGCCGCGGCCUCCUCGGCCGCGGUGCCUCCGCGGACUGGACCUCAAGUAAGCCAGGCAGGGUAGGUGUUAUGAAGACAGAAUUGUUUCACAUCAACAUUCACAGACUAAAGCUUCAUUACUUAAUGAUACAAAGCUGUGAAGUGUUGCUGAAGUGGGAUGUGGAGUGAGGGAAAAACGUGACUGAAGAAAUUCUGUUUCUUGCCUCAGAGACAGCAAUGUUGAAGUACUUCUCAAGAAGACCCCUCUGUGGCCAGAUCUCCAUUAUGGCUGGUGCUGUGGAGAAUUUCCUGUUCCAAAGUACAUACAUCUUAAACAUAGGAUAGACAGGAUGGGAAAAGAAACAGGCAUAGGGGAGGAAGUGUCUUGAUGGAGGUCACCUAACAGACUCUAACACAACACAUCACAAUUGCACAUGCACAGCAGCUGCAAGCAGAUUUCCUCAGCCACAGAAUAGAAACUUUCAGCACUGUAGAGAAUCACUUCAAUACUAGUGUUGACAGGAUUUCACACUUUUCAGUACCUUCCUACAACAGGUGAGGACAGCCUGGUAAAACCAACAAUAAAAGAUAACCACUUGUGUCAGAAUGCUGCCAACAUUGCUCUAUGAAGAAAGCUGCAUUAAAAAAAACCAACAACAACAACAAAAAAAACCCACUAAGUUAAUUGUGAUCAUCAGCAAUCUGUUUAGGUUGUGGCUGGACCGUUGAAGUUGAAUUAGUGUAACCAAUCCUGAGAAGAGUUUGCAGAUUUCUUCAACAUAGACCAGGCUAAUCAUGCUCUUUGGUGUGCUGUUGUAAAAUGAUUUUUCUUACCCCUGCAAGCUCUAAAAGUAUCUUGACACUAGCUAAGUGGGAUUUCAGAGGAUAGUCAGCAUCACCAAUGGAUUAUUUCAUACUACUCAGAAGAUUAAAGGGAAGUUCUGUAUCCAUCACAUGUUUUCUUUUAAUUUUCUCUUCUGAUCUUCCCUGCAAGUGGGUCUAUAAUACUUUUAAAAUAUAUUGCUUAGGAACAAAGUGUCUUUUGGAAAAGAGAUAUGCUCAAGAGCAUCAGGAUAAUUCAGACCCUAAUCAAGGCAGACUGUGAGGGCUUGUCUCUAACCCAUGCUGUCAUACCUGUGAGCUGAUCUAGGCUUUCUUUUUAGUCUUACUGUGUGCAUUCAGAUUACUU